This 363-nucleotide unclassified non-coding RNA is filed under the name uncultured bacterium. RNAcentral's name for it is "contains 16S-23S intergenic spacer region". The record is from RNAcentral.
UCCCCGUUGCCGAGGCAGUCUGAUUAGAGAAAUUCAACUAAUCACAAGGGUUGCGCUCGUUAAUGGACUUAACCAAACAUCUCACGACACGAGCUGACGACGGCCAUGCAACACCUGUCACUUGGUUCAAUAAAGCACAGUUUCCUUUCGGAAGCCUUCCAAGGAUGUCAAGCCUGGGUAAGGUUCUUCGCUUACCAUCGAAUUAAACAACACGCUCCACCGCUUGUGCGGGUCCCCGUCAAUUCCUUUGAGUUUUAAUCUUGCGACCGUACUCCCCAGGCGGCAUGCUUAACGCGUUAGCUUCGCUACUACUCGGGUCGAUACGAAUAACAGCUAGCAUGCAUCGUUUACGGCGUGGACUAC